UGGGGAAUAUUGCACAAUGGGCGCAAGCCUGAUGCAGCCAUGCCGCGUGUAUGAAGAAGGCCUUCGGGUUGUAAAGUACUUUCAGUCGGGAGGAAGGUGGUAAGGUUAAUAACCUUAUCAAUUGACGUUACCGACAGAAGAAGCACCGGCUAACUCCGUGCCAGCAGCCGCGGUAAUACGGAGGGUGCAAGCGUUAAUCGGAAUUACUGGGCGUAAAGCGCACGCAGGCGGUUUGUUAAGUCAGAUGUGAAAUCCCCGGGCUCAACCUGGGAACUGCAUCUGAUACUGGCAAGCUUGAGUCUCGUAGGGGGGGGUAGAAUUCCAGGUGUAGCGGUGAAAUGCGUAGAGAUCUGGAGGAAUACCGGUGGCGAAGGCGGCCCCCUGAACGAAGACUGACGCUCAGGUGCGAAAGCGUGGGGAGCAAACAGG
Molecule: ribosomal RNA, 429 nt
Filed under: Chloroflexota bacterium
Lineage: Bacteria; Bacillati; Chloroflexota
Description: Chloroflexi bacterium partial 16S ribosomal RNA
Rfam family: Bacterial small subunit ribosomal RNA
Source: RNAcentral